This 462-nucleotide ribosomal RNA is filed under the name Gephyromantis enki. Its description in RNAcentral is "partial 16S ribosomal RNA". It matches the Rfam family "Bacterial large subunit ribosomal RNA", at positions 1968 to 2597 of the family's 2925-position model. The record is from RNAcentral. Lineage: Eukaryota; Metazoa; Chordata; Amphibia; Anura; Mantellidae.
CUUGUUCUUUAAAUGAGGACUCGUAUCAAUGGCACCACGAGGACUUUACUGUCUCCUUUUUCUAAUCAGUGAAACUAAUCUUCCCGUGAAGAAGCGGGAAUAAAUAGAUAAGACGAGAAGACCCCAUGGAGCUUUAAGCUUACUGCACCUCUAUUUUCUAUAACCUCUUAUUAAACGGAAUACUGCUUACUUAGCUUUAGGUUGGGGUGACCGCGGAGUAUAACAUAACCUCCAUGAUGAACAAAACUAUUUUCUUAUCUAAGAACAACAGUUCUAAGAAUUAGUAUUCUAACAUAAAAUGAUCCGAUAAUCGAUCAACGGACUAAGUUACCCUGGGGAUAACAGCGCAAUCCAUUUCAAGAGCCCCUAUCGACAAAUGGGUUUACGACCUCGAUGUUGGAUCAGGAUAUCCUAGUGGUGCAGCAGCUACUGAAGGUUCGUUUGUUCAACGAUUAAAAUCCU